RNAcentral lists this unclassified non-coding RNA (306 nucleotides) under plant metagenome. RNAcentral describes it as "partial contains 5.8S ribosomal RNA, internal transcribed spacer 2, and large subunit ribosomal RNA". The stretch from base 1 to 105 matches the Rfam family "5.8S ribosomal RNA", at positions 50 to 154 of the family's 154-position model. The record is from RNAcentral.
GGAAUGCGAUAAGUAAUGUGAAUUGCAGAAUUCAGUGAAUCAUCGAAUCUUUGAACGCACAUUGCGCCCGCCAGUAUUCUGGCGGGCAUGCCUGUCCGAGCGUCAUUUCAACCAUCAAGCCCCCGGGCUUGUGUUGGGGACCUGCGGCUGCCCGCAGGCCCUGAAAACCAGUGGCGGGCUCGCUGUCACACCGAGCGUAGUAGCAAUCACCUCGCUCAGGGCGUGCUGCGGGUUCCGGCCGUUAAACAGCCUUACAAAACCCAAGGUUGACCUCGGAUCAGGUAGGAAGACCCGCUGAACUUAAGC